AUGAUAGAAAAGUUGCUUUGGAUGAAGGAUGCUUGUGCUCGUUUGUUUGAGAGUCGGCAUGUGGCUAGGGUUCAUACAGCUGGUUUUGGUUCUAUCAUCAAGUGGAAGGUGAAGUCUAACAUUUCCCGCCCUCUAAUGGGAGUUUUGUACCUGAAGAUAAAUCCUGAUACGAUGACUCUUGACAUGGGUGAGGCGAAUAAGAAGCUUUGCAUCACUAGCGAUUGUAUACAUCAACUAUUUGGUUUCCCUCGUGGUGGUCGUUCUGCACCAAGGCCCUUAGAGGACGGAUAUGAUGAAGCUCUGGUGAAGUUCAGAUCGGAGCUUGACAUUAGUAGGAACAGAGAUAUCAAGACGAAGGAUUUGAGGGAUAAGCUCAAGGUGCUUGCCAAGGAUCCUAGCAAAGAUGACCUUGCUCUAAAAGUGUUCUUCAUUAUUGUGUUUAUGAAAGUUUUUUUGCCUGGUGCCGCCCCUUGUGUUUCCAGAGAGGCGACAAUGUUUGAGGAUCUUGUCAUUGAGGACAUGGCUAAUAUGGAUUAUUGCCAGCUGAUGAUUGAUGAGCUUAGAAGAGCUGUUGUCAGGUACCAAGAUAGUGUUACCCUUGGGAAGGUAAUCACAGGCUGUGCUAUAGGGCAUGUACUAAUGUACCUUGAUUGCCUUAUCCAUGGCAAGUUUUCAGAGGUCAACAUUGGAAAACUCAAUAGGAAGUUGUCUUUUUUCGGGUGUAUAAACGUCCAGUCCUAG
Molecule: ribosomal RNA, 741 nt
Filed under: Triticum aestivum (bread wheat)
Lineage: Eukaryota; Viridiplantae; Streptophyta; Magnoliopsida; Poales; Poaceae
Description: partial small subunit ribosomal RNA
Source: RNAcentral